UAGGGAAUCUUCCGCAAUGGACGAAAGUCUGACGGAGCAACGCCGCGUGAGUGAUGAAGGUUUUCGGAUCGUAAAACUCUGUUGUUAGGGAAGAACAAGUUGGGUAGUAACUGACCCAACCUUGACGGUACCUAACCAGAAAGCCACGGCUAACUACGUGCCAGCAGCCGCGGUAAUACGUAGGUGGCAAGCGUUGUCCGGAAUUAUUGGGCGUAAAGCGCUCGCAGGCGGUCUUUUAAGUCUGAUGUGAAAGCCCACGGCUUAACCGUGGAGGGUCAUUGGAAACUGGAGGACAUGAGUACAGAAGAGGAGAGUGGAAUUCCACGUGUAGCGGUGAAAUGCGUAGAGAUGUGGAGGAACACCAGUGGCGAAGGCGACUCUCUGGUCUGUAACUGACGCUGAGGAGCGAAAGCGUGGGUAGCGAACAGG
RNAcentral lists this ribosomal RNA (429 nucleotides) under bacterium. Its description in RNAcentral is "partial 16S ribosomal RNA". It matches the Rfam family "Bacterial small subunit ribosomal RNA", at positions 355 to 776 of the family's 1533-position model. The record is from RNAcentral.